GGAGCAAGUUGGGUAAUCGCUUUCAUUAUUAAAAUUGAAAGAGGAAAGUCCGAACACCAAAGAGCAGCGAGCCGGAUAACGACCGGGCGUUUGAUUUAAAAAUCGAGCGACGACAAGUGCAACAGAGAACAGACCAGCCAUUUCAAUUUUGGAUUUUGGAUUUCACAUUUCGGAGUCCAUAACCAUUUAAGAGUUGGUGAUGGGUGAAACGGUGCGGUUUCUGUGAGAAACUUAAAGUAAGAGCGCACCAGCGCGUUUGGUAACAAGCGCGGCUAGGCAAACUCCUCGCGGUGCAAGACCAAAUAGGGAAAUGUUUUUAAUGAGUUGUUCGCUCAUUUGUCCGAAGCGAUUCGGACGGCUUUUCCGGGUAGGUCGCUUGAGCUAUUUGGCAACAAAUAGUCUAGAUGAAUGAUUGCCAUUCGCUUUUGAAAAGCGGACACAAAAUUCGGCUUAUAGACUUACUUCAAUU
RNAcentral lists this RNase P RNA (469 nucleotides) under Acidobacteriota bacterium. RNAcentral describes it as "RNase P RNA component class A". It matches the Rfam family "Bacterial RNase P class A". From Rfam's summary of the family: Ribonuclease P (RNase P) is a ubiquitous endoribonuclease, found in archaea, bacteria and eukarya as well as chloroplasts and mitochondria. Its best characterised activity is the generation of mature 5'-ends of tRNAs by cleaving the 5'-leader elements of precursor-tRNAs. Lineage: Bacteria; Pseudomonadati; Acidobacteriota. The record is from RNAcentral.